UGGGGAAUUUUGGACAAUGGGCGCAAGCCCUGAUCCAGCCAUGCCGCGUGUCUGAAGAAGGCCUUCGGGUUGUAAAGGACUUUUGUCAGGGAAGAAAAGGCUGUUGCUAAUACCGACAGCUGAUGACGGUACCUGAAGAAUAAGCACCGGCUAACUACGUGCCAGCAGCCGCGGUAAUACGUAGGGUGCGAGCGUUAAUCGGAAUUACUGGGCGUAAAGCGAGCGCAGACGGUUACUUAAGCAGGAUGUGAAAUCCCCGGGCUCAACCUGGGAACUGCGUUCUGAACUGGGUGACUAGAGUGUGUCAGAGGGAGGUAGAAUUCCACGUGUAGCAGUGAAAUGCGUAGAGAUGUGGAGGAAUACCGAUGGCGAAGGCAGCCUCCUGGGAUAACACUGACGUUCAUGCUCGAAAGCGUGGGUAGCAAACAGGAUUAGAUACCCUGGUAGUCCACGCCCUAAACGAUGUCAAUUAGCUGUUGGGCAACUUGAUUGCUUAGUAGCGUAGCUAACGCGUGAAAUUGACCGCCUGGGGAGUACGGUCGCAAGAUUA
This 550-nucleotide ribosomal RNA is filed under the name uncultured bacterium. RNAcentral's name for it is "bacterial SSU rRNA". It matches the Rfam family "Bacterial small subunit ribosomal RNA", at positions 355 to 896 of the family's 1533-position model. The record is from RNAcentral.